RNAcentral lists this long non-coding RNA (240 nucleotides) under Brassica rapa (field mustard). RNAcentral's name for it is "long non-coding RNA (BRAP_LNC005013)". The record is from RNAcentral. Lineage: Eukaryota; Viridiplantae; Streptophyta; Magnoliopsida; Brassicales; Brassicaceae.
AAGUUUCAAAGGAUAAACACCAAUAUCGAAAAUGGCGAACAUACACGAGAAGAGGAAGGAGAAAUAAGCAAGCAAAAAUGAGAAGAGACAAAACUGCAUCUUCGAAAGAACUAAGGUAUUUCCGACUUGAAAUUUUUUAAAUCAGACUUGAAAUCUUCAUAGGAAAUUACUAAGAAAUAAAAACGCCUCUGAGACUGCCAUAGAACUUUAGGAAACGUAAAACUGAAUUAAGUCUUUGGC